UUGUAUCUUCGGAUAGGCGCUUCAUGUACUGCGUUGUUUUGUUGUAUUCGUAAGAACUUUGUACGUUUCAGCUUCACUUACUUUCUAUAGCUUCCGACCGCAGGAGCUUUGUACGUUCUUCUCAUUAUUCAAGAGACUCUGCCUUCGUCCUCCUGAACGACGGCUCCAACAACACGGGGAAGGAAAUCGGCGCGGAUAAGGGGAAAAAAAUAAAUCGAGCAAGGAGGAGCGCUUUCUUUUUGUACCAAAUAAAGCGCUGGACAUUCCGUUCAUCCAUCAAGUAAAUAGUAACCCGAGGAAUCGCCACCAAUGCGAGAUGC
Molecule: long non-coding RNA, 320 nt
Filed under: Spirodela polyrhiza (greater duckweed)
Lineage: Eukaryota; Viridiplantae; Streptophyta; Magnoliopsida; Alismatales; Araceae
Description: long non-coding RNA (SPOL_LNC000016)
Source: RNAcentral